Non-coding RNA from Callithrix jacchus (white-tufted-ear marmoset), 5814 nucleotides. NCBI's taxonomy places the organism in Eukaryota, Metazoa, Chordata, Mammalia, Primates, Cebidae. The record is from RefSeq and is a predicted model, not a curated record.
CAGGGCAGACCAGGUGAGCGCGCAGCCAGAUGAGGCCUCCGCAAGCCGAGAGCGAGGUCUCCGAAGAAAGCGUUACUGCUGCAGCUCUUGGACUUCCAGCCGCCAGAGCAGUGGAAAAAUACAUUCCUGUUGUUGAAGCCGCCCCGUCCGUGGUAUUUGCUCAUGGCAGCUGGAGCUGAGGAAGGCAGUGCUGUGUAAACACCUUCCGAGUGAGCCAGUGCGGAGGCUGUGGACCUGUGCCCGCGAGGUCCGGGGCGGCCUUCCUAAAGUGCUUCUUCUUGCACUUGAAACGCCUUGAGACCACCCGAGGCUCUUGUUAGAAGUGGGAUUUCUGGUUUUCCAGGUCUGGGAUGGUACCUGAGAUGUUGGAUGUCUAAUGAACUCCCAGGGGGAAGCAUCGGGUCUGCAGACCACACUUUGAGCAGCAGGGUUUAGGGGAGCACUGCCUUAGGAGUCCUGGAGUCCCCCGAGGCUUGUCAUUGAAUUGGACCAUCUUUGGGGACUUUAGAAGAAAAUGGGGGAACUUAUUCAAAUUCAGUUCAGCAAUUACUUUGAGCACUUCUUCACGUCAGACUCUGAGCCAGCCUGCGUGCCCCUCCAGAACGCGGAGAAGGGGGGCAAGACAAGGGCCUGCCCACGCCCCAGGCGGUCUUUCAUCAAGGAGAGCCAAUUUUAUUCCACUGCAGGAAAGAAUACCAGAAGCAGUUUGGCUUAACGUGUGACAAACAACAGCAAAAUUAGGGAUGUGAUGGGAACCAACAUCGCUUUGUCUCUCUGGGCUUUGAUGGUGGCACUGAUGUCUCAAAGCCCUCCAGCAGCAGCCAUCAGCACCUAGGAAAGGGAAUGGAAGCUGUCCUUGGAACCAUUAGAGAAAGCCUGGCCCUGCUGACACCUUAAGUUUAAAGUUCUGUCUUCUAGAACUGAGAGAGGGUACAAAUGAGUCAUCUGAUAGAAUGAGACCUGGAGAGAGAUUAAAUAAAUUUUACCAAUUGAUCCUAGGAGGAAUGGUUUCAAAAUAGCAUGUCUUCAGUAUUGUUUCAAUGAGUAAAGCCUACAAAGCAAGCAAAAGAUGACUUCCCAUGACCGCUCUUCUCACUUGAAAUGGACACUGAGAAAGGAAUGAAGCGCAGGUAUAAUCCAAGGCUUGGGUCAUGCCUUGGUGCUUUGGGAUGGCAGCACAGCCAAAGUGCCUUCAGAUAAACAGAGACUGUGUCCGAAAAGCCUCUGUGGCCAUUUGCAGUCAGGCACAGUCAGGAACCAAGGAGAUAUUCAGUUGUAACUGGUGCUUCUGCAGCAGAAUUUUCAAACCCUGGGAAUUUUCGGAAUCCUGUACACCAUUCCUCGCUGAAAGAAACAUCCGGCACUUUGCCCUCCUCACAGAACACAUUGGAGCACUGUAAGGAGUUCCCUUGCUGGACAAGAUGGGACAUUACCACUAACUUGGUCAUCCCGGUAGCAAAUGGAGCGAAAGGAGAAGCCCAUCAUGGUCUGUUAGCCAAGCUUUCUCUGAGGGGACUUCUGCAGCUAAAGCAAGAGGUCAGCUAAUGGAAGCAGUCCCCCUUCCUCAUGUUGUACAACAUGACCCAGGAGAGGCUGCAGCUGACAAAAGACCAAGAACAAGAGGAUCUAAGAGCUGCUGUGGCCAAAGCCGUCGAGAAAGUCUGCUCAGUGCAAUGCCCUGCUCUCACUUCCCGCCAGUAUUCCAUUACGGAGGAAACACAGUAUUAAGUUUCUUGAGAGUCACUGGUGGCCAAAGCCUUUCCUGACAGCUCAGGGUGCAAGACGGGACCCAGCCCUGGACAGGAUGCCAUCCCAUUGCAGGGCCACUCACUUUACACGAACCAUUUAGACACAGUGAUUACUGUCAUGGAACAUCUCUGAGAUGUGGGAGGAACCCAGAGCACCCAAAGAAAAUGCACGCAGAUAUGGGAAGACAUGCCACCUUCACACAGUCAAUGGCCCUGGCUGGGAACUGAUGUUUUUGUUUUUCUCAUCAACAUUAUUACAAAACAACAUUGAGAUAAAUGACAUUAUUGCAGACCUGCUGUAUAAUAUAAUGUCACCUAUAACACAAGGAAAGAAAACCAAGUCACCUUAAGUGGGUAGAUAGUGAUGAGGUGAGGGAUGCUAUUUGAGGUUUUGUGGUCAGGGAAGGACUCUUUUUGCAAUGACACUUAAGACUUGAAUGUAGUGAAGAAACGAUCUGUGUAAAUAUUUACAGAUGAGCAUUUUUGGGCAGAGGGCCAGUGAUUACAGAUGACCUGGGUCAAGGGCAUGCCUGAUCUGCUUAAGGAAGGUUCUGGGGGCUCAUAUGGCAUGAGAGAGGAAUGACAGGAGAUGAAGUCUAAGAGGAUGGCAAAGUCUAGAUCUCAUAGGACCUUGCAGAUCACAUCUAGGGAUCAGAAUUUCUUAUGAUGGAAAGCCACUGGGGAAUACCGAACAGGGCAAGGACUAAUUUGAUGUUUUUAAAGGAUCAUUCUGGCUGUUGCUUGAUGAACCAAAGAGCCAGAACAGAAGUAGAGAGGUCCAUGAGGUGGUUGCAUAGUCUAGAACAUAGCUAAGGGCGGCUGGGAGGAGGGCGAUGUGGUGAGUGUGGUGAGCACCAUCAGAUUCGGGAAUGCACUGUGGAAGUAGAGCCAGCAGGGUUUGCUGAUAGCUUGAAGGAUUAGGGAUACAAACAGGAGAAAAUCAAUGAUGAUUUCAGGGUUUUUGGCUUCAAAUAUGAUUUCUCAUAAAGAAGGAGAGAGCCAUCAGCUAUGUUAAAUGCUACUGAGAGAUUAAAUUGAAGACUCAGAAUUAACCACUGGAUUUAGUAACAUAGAGAUUAUUCAUGAUCUCCACAGGUGACUUUAGGAAGCUGACUGAAAGCAUGGUUGGGAUGGUUUCAAGAGAGAAUGAGGUUGUCUCUUUGGGAGAUGGCUUGAUUAGAUAGAUACAGGAGAAACUCAUCGGGGAAAGUGAAGUCCUUGGUAAUCUUUCAGUUCUUAGUUUGGGUGACAGGGUCAUGUGAAUUCAUUGGAUUAGUAUAUGUUACAUCUUACAUAUAUAAUUCACAUACAGUUGACCCUUGGACAACAUGGGUGUACUUACAUGCAAAUUUUCUUCUGCCUCUACCACCCUGAGACAGUAAGACCCAACCUCCUUUUCCUCCUCCUCCUCAGCCUACUCAACAUGAAGAUAAGGAUGAAGACCUUUAUGAUGAUCCACGUCUGCUUCACGAAUAGUCAAUCUAUUUUCUGUUCCUUAUGGUUUUCUUAAUAACAUUUUCUUUUCUCUAGUUUACUUUAUCAUAAAAAUACAGUAUUUAAUACGUACGAUGUACCACAUACAUGUUAAUCCACCACUGUUUACGAUAUCGGCAAGGGUCCAGUCAACAGUAAGCUAUUAGCAAUUCAGUUUUUAGGGAAUUAAAAAUUAAAUGUAGAUUUUUGACUGCAUGAGGUGUUGGUGUCCCUAGUUCUUACAUUGUUCAAGGGUCAAUUGUAUUCCUUUCUACAAAUCAAAUAUUGCAUGUAAAGAUAUUUUAAAUGUAAUAGAGAAAAAUAAUGGAAAGAGGAAUUGGAGACAGAGAACAUAUAUCAUUUUGUCAAGAAGAUUCACUGCUAAGAGAGCGGCAGCUGGAGGUGAUGUAAGGGAUGUGGUGUCACUCCCGCAUAGCACCCUCAAGUUUGUAUGUGUGGAUACUGAUGGAAAUGAUCUUUCAGCAGAGAGGGAAAGAGUAAUGAUGGAACAGAGAGACGGAUCAUUUCAAGAGGGGAGCUCUUGGUUAUCAAGAGGGAAUGGGAUGGAGAAUCCAGUCACAAGAAGUAGGUUGACCCCAGAUAGGGGCAGGGCAGUUUCCUAAGAUAAAAGGCAGACUACAGAAACACUGCUGCAUGAAGGUGAGUAGAUUUGUGGUGGCAGGUUGUGGAAUUUAUUUUCCAAACACUUUUGUCUUCUCAGUGAAGUAUGCAACAAGGUCAGCAUCAAAAGCAAGGGUAGGAGAGGAAGAAUUGGAGUUUGAGAAAGAGAAGGUGUGAAUUAGGGAGUGGGAGAGAGGACACAGGAAUCAUGCAGGUGUCUUAGGUUGUGCUGACAGCCCACCUGUGGCUUGUGGUAAUGAAUUUAGGGAGACCAUCAGCAUGGUGGUGUUGUCUCUAGCCCUGAGCAGCUGUUUGGGGGUAGACUAGGACUAGGUAGAGCUGAAUUUAACCAGGACUAGGGUUUUGCCAGGCUAGUAUUUGGAAGGGAGAGGGGUAAGUUCAUUGAGAAUAAAUGCAACAGAAGGAUUCUAGUGGUAGAUAAAGGAAUCUAAGCUUUUUAAGGAGAGAAUGAGGUCAUAAGCAGGGUGGGGAUGAUGGGCAGUGUCAUGGCAGCAGGGUCAAGGGGUUAUCAGUCCUAGUGGGGUUGCAGAAGCGUUUCCAGGGAAGUGCUAGAGGAAAUACAAUGAAAAAGUGGCAGUGGUGAUUAGAUAGUAGAACGCUUGAAGCUGAGAUUCUAGAAGCAAUGUAGUUACUAAUGACGACAAAGUGCAGGGUAUGACAUGGGAGUCUGUGGCAAAAGCAGGUUGGAGGCCAGGAUCGUUAGAGAUGAAUUUAGGGGCCAGAGUAUUGGAGACAGAAUGAAUACUGAGAUCAUCACAUGAUGUGACAGAAGUAGUGGGAGAGGUAAGGGCCAUGCCCAGUGCUAAAGUCUUCAGUGACUGAGGAGGAAUUUGUGUGGUUGUAAGAGUGGGGAGCAGCAGAUGCUACCAUUCUUUAAAGUGCUGGAGGUUGCUGGGAAGAAAGAGAAAUCACUGCCUGGAAGAGGCAGUGAGAAAGAAGGAGGACUCUUGCCCAACCUCUGCUUUCCUAUUUUUUAAUUUAAUUUUUCAAGACAGAGUCUUACUCCGUCACCCAGGCUGAAGUGCACUGGCACAAUCUCUGCCCACUGCAGCCUCUGCUUCCUUGGUUAUAGCAAUUCUCCUCUCUCAGCCUCCUGAGGAGCAGGGAUUACAGGCAUGUGCCACCAUGCCCGGCUAAUUUUUGUAUUUUUAAUAAAGAUGGGGUUUUGUCAUGUUGGCCAGGCUGGUCUUGAACUCAUGGCCUCAAGUGAUCUUCCCGCUUUGGCCUCCCAAUGUGUAGGGAUUACAGGUGUGAGCCACCAUGCCUGGCCCCAACCUCUGCUUUCCUUUAGUGUUCCUUGUAUAUUUUCCUUUUCGUUUCUCUGCUUGAGUGCCUACUUUCACAUUUUGCUAUUAUGCUUUGAGAUACAUUUUUUUUUUGAAACUCAACUUCUGCCCUUGGAGAAGUGACUAAAUGAGUCGUGUAUGAGUAAAAGUGUUAUCCCGUUGCUAAUUCUCCACCUGUGACCCAGGAAGUGGCAUUCUGCUGCUGGGGAAGACUUCUCAGUGGAGCUGGAAGUGAAGAUAUCUGAGAAGUUGUUUCUCUCCUCACCCUUGGGAUAGCAGAUUGGGCCAGAUGCAACAGAGGCUUCAAUGCCAAGAUAAAGACUCACCUUUAUGUAAGGAAGUUCCUUAAGGUCUUUUCAAGCAAGAUCGCAAAAAAGGUUUCAGAGGGUUAACCAGCAGACUGGAGUGGGGCAAGAAUGAAGGCAGGAAAGCCAUGUGAGAGGCUCUGGCAAUAGUUAGAGAGCUUGAACCCAAGAAUAGAGGUGUACAAGGAAGGAAGGGACAAAUGUAAGCGGUGUUUCGCUAAAAGCACCAACAUGAUCCCAUCAUUGCAUGUGGUGGGGAGGGGAGCAGAGGAAUGAAAGAUGGCGCCCUGGUGUUAGGCUUGGAAAUGGGAGAAUAUUGACACCACUAUAAGAAAGAGGGAGAUGAACAGGAAGGCUAAA